This 72-nucleotide transfer RNA is filed under the name Camelus bactrianus (Bactrian camel). It matches the Rfam family "tRNA". Rfam says of the family: Transfer RNA (tRNA) molecules are approximately 80 nucleotides in length. Their secondary structure includes four short double-helical elements and three loops (D, anti-codon, and T loops). Further hydrogen bonds mediate the characteristic L-shaped molecular structure. tRNAs have two regions of fundamental functional importance: the anti-codon, which is responsible for specific mRNA codon recognition, and the 3' end, to which the tRNAs corresponding amino acid is attached (by aminoacyl-tRNA synthetases). tRNAs cope with the degeneracy of the genetic code in two manners: having more than one tRNA (with a specific anti-codon) for a particular amino acid; and 'wobble' base-pairing, i.e. permitting non-standard base-pairing at the 3rd anti-codon position. RNAcentral also lists the same sequence under 1 other name. The record is from Rfam by way of RNAcentral. Lineage: Eukaryota; Metazoa; Chordata; Mammalia; Artiodactyla; Camelidae.
GAAGGUAUAGCUCAGUGGUAGAGUGUGUGCUUAGCAUGCACAAGGUCCUGGGUUCAAUCCCCAGUACCUCCA